CAGUAGCCACGGGAAUACGAAGGGUGCAAGCGUUAAUCGGAAUUACUGGGCGUAAAGCGUGCGUAGGUGGUGGUUUAAGUCCGUUGUGAAAGCCCUGGGCUCAACCUGGGAAUUGCAGUGGAUACUGGGUCACUAGAGUGUGGUAGAGGAUGGUGGAAUUCCCGGUGUAGCGGUGAAAUGCGUAGAGAUCGGGAGGAACAUCAGUGGCGAAGGCGGCCAUCUGGGACAACACUGACGCUGAGGCACGAAAGCGUGGGGAGCAAACAGGAUUAGAUACCCCCGUAGUCCCUGUCUCUUAUAC
RNAcentral lists this ribosomal RNA (301 nucleotides) under uncultured bacterium. RNAcentral's name for it is "partial 16S ribosomal RNA". It matches the Rfam family "Bacterial small subunit ribosomal RNA", at positions 509 to 807 of the family's 1533-position model. The record is from RNAcentral.